This is a long non-coding RNA of Canis lupus familiaris (dog), 402 nucleotides long. RefSeq lists it as uncharacterized. The transcript is spliced from 4 exons. The record is from RefSeq and is a predicted model, not a curated record. NCBI's taxonomy places the organism in Eukaryota, Metazoa, Chordata, Mammalia, Carnivora, Canidae.
CCUAUCUGCAUUGAAGGGAGGGAUGCUGGAACUCCAGGAACACAAUGGUCCUGGAGAAAGUGGAAAAGAUGAAGCAUAAAGAAUUGUUGACCAGAUGAAACAAUUGAUAUUCCAGGGACUCUCUUCCAACCUACCAAUGACUAAAGUAAUUAAGCUUCCUGCCAGUGAGAUUUUUGGGCCCAAAGGAUGGAGCAUGAGAAUGAUUAGUUUUGUGGAACACCCUUGUGUUAGAAUUAGUGGACUAUGUUUGGAGAUCCAGCUACCCCAUAAAGACCUGUGAAGCUUAUGCAACUUCCUUCAAGCCUAGUUUGCAGUCAGACUCUUCAAUAGCUGAGUAUGGAGAACUGUGGGCUGGUAAACCUGCAAAAAUCCAUCCCACAGCCCCCACAGCAAACUGAAAGG